Molecule: ribosomal RNA, 816 nt
Filed under: uncultured archaeon
Lineage: Archaea
Description: bacterial SSU rRNA
Rfam family: Archaeal small subunit ribosomal RNA
Source: RNAcentral
GGAAUGCGAAAGACAUGCGAGUCGAGAGACAUUUGGUCUCGGCGGACCGCUCAGUAACACGUGGACAACAUGCCCUAAGGUGGGGGAUAAUCUCGGGAAACUGAGGAUAAUACCCCAUAGGUCUAAUCUGCUGGAAUGCUUUUAGGCCGAAAACUCCGGUGCCUUAGGAUUGGUCUGCGGUCUAUCAGGGUAGUGGGUGUAAUGGACCCACUAGCCCGUGACGGAUAUGGGCCUUGAGAGAGGGAGCCCAGAGAUGGACUCUGAGACAUGAGUCCAGGCCCUACGGGGCGCAGCAGUCGCGAAAACCGCAAUGGGGGAAACCCCGACGAGGGAAUUCCAAGCGCCAGCAUUUAAUGUUGGCUGUUCUUUUGUCUAAAAAACAUGAGAAGUAAGGGGCGGGUAAGACGGGUGCCAGCCGCCGCGGUAAUACCCGCGCCCCAAGUGGUGGUCGAUAUUAUUGAGCCUAAAACGUCCGUAGCCGGUUUUCUAAAUCCUUGGGUAAAUCGGGCAGCUUAACUGUCCGAAUUCCGGGGAGACUGGGAGACUUGGGACCGGGAGAGGUCAGAGGUACUUCUGGGGUAGGGGUAAAAUCCUGUAAUCCUGGAAGGACCACCGGUGGCGAAGGCGUCUGACUAGAACGGAUCCGACGGUGAGGGACGAAGCCCUGGGGCGCAAACGGGAUUAGAUACCCCGGUAGUCCAGGGUGUAAACGCUGCGGGCUUGGUGUUGGGGGUCCUUAGUGGGCGCCCAGUGCCGGAGAGAAGUUGUUAAGCCUGCUGCUUGGGGAGUAUGUCCGCAAGGAUGAAACUUAAAGGA